This 520-nucleotide ribosomal RNA is filed under the name Colletotrichum gloeosporioides. RNAcentral describes it as "eukaryotic LSU rRNA". The stretch from base 156 to 309 matches the Rfam family "5.8S ribosomal RNA". Lineage: Eukaryota; Fungi; Ascomycota; Sordariomycetes; Glomerellales; Glomerellaceae. The record is from RNAcentral.
AUACCCUUUGUGACAUACCUAUAACUGUUGCUUCGGCGGGUAGGGUCUCCGUGACCCUCCCGGCCUCCCGCCCCCGGGCGGGUCGGCGCCCGCCGGAGGAUAACCAAACUCUGAUUUAACGACGUUUCUUCUGAGUGGUACAAGCAAAUAAUCAAAACUUUUAACAACGGAUCUCUUGGUUCUGGCAUCGAUGAAGAACGCAGCGAAAUGCGAUAAGUAAUGUGAAUUGCAGAAUUCAGUGAAUCAUCGAAUCUUUGAACGCACAUUGCGCCCGCCAGCAUUCUGGCGGGCAUGCCUGUUCGAGCGUCAUUUCAACCCUCAAGCUCUGCUUGGUGUUGGGGCCCUACAGCUGAUGUAGGCCCUCAAAGGUAGUGGCGGACCCUCCCGGAGCCUCCUUUGCGUAGUAACUUUACGUCUCGCACUGGGAUCCGGAGGGACUCUUGCCGUAAAACCCCCAAUUUUCCAAAGGUUGACCUCGGAUCAGGUAGGAAUACCCGCUGAACUUAAGCAUAUCAAUAGG